AUCAACUGUGCCAGACGUGUCUGCCCCACUCCAAGCCCACUGUGGAGCCAGGGGUUCAGGCCUGGAGCCGGACCAUCUGUCAUUAGGCACUGCUGUUAAUUGCUGUGCUAAUGAACAAGAUUUGCAUCAGAGGCACGAAUGCACAUGCAGAUUUAGCUGCGACUCUGCACUACUAUUUCCUGUCCCCUUCCAACCUGGCAUGGUCUCCAGGAGGCAAAGCUGUGAAGGAGAAGCCCAUCAAAGGGCAGGGGAUGGUGUAUAGCUGAGGACAUUGAUGGACACAGCCCUGACGAGUGCCCGUGUCCCCUAGCACUGCCCUGCUGGCCCAAGCACUUGGUCCAAGCACCCAGAUUGUACCAUGGGGGAAACUGGAAACUUCAUGAGGAACCAAGGAUAUAAAUGUUAUGAAAUUAUUUUCAGGGCUUUCAGCCUCUGGCUUGUCCAGCCUCUACUUCACAUGAUGCCAAGAACAUACGCAUCUGGCAAAACGUUCACGUGAAACUGUAAAGUGAAAAAUGAGUCAUAGAAACUGGAAAGUUAAGUUCUUAAAUGUCCUCUGUGUUCUGAAAUGGCAGGGAUUUGAAAUUUCUUUUUUUUUAUGUUUGUAUUUUCUAAAAUAUUUUAAAGAUGGAAUCAUGUUCAUUAUUAGGAAAAAAAUGCAGUUAAAAAUAAAAUGAUGGAAAAGAUAAAGAGAGACAGACCCAAUGCCUGUUGAGGAAGAGCAAGGAGAGGCAACAGUUCCUUCUCAGGCAUGGAAUGCAUCAGCCUGCAACUCCCAUCUUACAGAUGAGGAAACAGAGGCCUGGAGAUGCAUGAUGAGUUGCUCAGAAUAAUGCCUGCUUCCAUUUACUCCAUGGUGCUAAGUGCUUCAUAAAUUCUAUCAGUUGUUCUCUGUACUAGUCAUCUGAGGUUAGGAGCAUCACUACCACCACCCCACAGAGGAAGAGACCAAAGCUCACAGUAACAGCACCUGGCCAGAAUCACAUGGCUAGUCAUGCUCAGAGCAGGUAUCCAAACCCCAAAAUCUAUGCUCCUAAAGACUGUUUUUUUUCUUAACUUUACAAAGUGUAAGGUUAGUUGGGAAGGAGAAUCUGAGUUUCCAAGCUCCCAGGCAUCUAACACCAUUUUAAAGUAGAGCGUGGAUGAGGAGAAUUCAGCUCCGAGGCCCUAGACCUCUUCCUCUCAGUCCCUCCUCUGCCCAGCUCGUAACCUGGGCUGCGGCCACGUCCUGUGCUCUGACUUAUGAAUCCUAAGCUUCUUCCUCAUAGGAGAGACAGCUGCUGUGGGCAGGAACUUUCCAGGCAACAUGGAGCAGGAGGACUGGCCUGGGAGGUGGCCUACUACCCAGCAUCCCGUCCUCUGAGAUUCCCUCUGAGGUAGUAAAUACAGAAUUGUUUGGGGGAGCACAUCCUGGGGUUAAGUGUCAAACCCAGCUUCUAGUAUCGAUGAUGAGAAAGCUGGUGAGUGACUGUCCCAGAGCUGCAGGGCAAGUGGACUCUGCUCACUCUGGCAGUUUCCAGGCUGUGUGGAAUGGGGCUGCAGCUGAGGGGUUCUGGUGGCCCAAAGGGAGAACUAGGCUCGGGAGUUGAAAAAUACUUCACCUCAGAUGUCUAUAGAAACGAAGCCAGGGAAAAGCAAAGAGCUGCUGAGGGUCUGCUGAGAAGAUGUCAGCGAGCCCAAGGUGAAUGGAACUGUUCUGUCACUGAGGACUCCAGUGCCACUCUGCACUGGACAAUGGGGAAAUUGAGAGCUCCCUGCUACAGACACUCAGAGGACAAGCUCAAGACACACUGGAGCAGGUCAGGCAAAGCAUCUGGAGGAGGCGGAAGAGCCCCUGGCCUGUGCCAGCAGCUUGGUGCCAAUCUCAGUGUGUUUUAAAGAAAACAUGCCAGCCAGGCUGAAAUGGUGGGGCAGGGUCGGGUAGGUGUGCCCAGUACCACAGAUGGAGUGGCUCCAAGCAACAGAUAUGAUCAUCUUGCCAUAUAUUCUGGAGUCUAGAAGUUCAAUACCAACUCAAGGGCAGGGUCAUGCUCCCUCUGAGACAGGGGAAACCCUUCCCUCGCCUCUUCCUAGCUUCAGUGACAGCCAGCAGUCCUCGGUCCUCCUUGACCUGCAGCUGCAUGGCCCCUUCUCUGCUUGUCACGUGUGCUGUCCUCCCUGUGUCUCUCUUCCUCAU
Sciurus carolinensis (gray squirrel) is the source of this 2176-nucleotide long non-coding RNA. RefSeq lists it as uncharacterized. The transcript is spliced from 3 exons. Lineage: Eukaryota; Metazoa; Chordata; Mammalia; Rodentia; Sciuridae. The record is from RefSeq and is a predicted model, not a curated record.